RNAcentral lists this ribosomal RNA (769 nucleotides) under uncultured bacterium. RNAcentral describes it as "bacterial SSU rRNA". It matches the Rfam family "Bacterial small subunit ribosomal RNA", at positions 48 to 828 of the family's 1533-position model. The record is from RNAcentral.
CAUAGAAUGCAGUCGAACGGACUUAACCAUUAGUUUACUAUUGGAGCGGUUAGUGGCGGACUGGUGAGUAACACGUAAGCAACCUGCCUAUCAGAGGGGAACAACAGUUAGAAAUGACUGCUAAUACCGCAUAUGCCUAAGUACCACAUGGUACAAUAGGGAAAGGAGCAAUCCGCUGAUAGAUGGGCUUGCGUCUGAUUAGCUAGUUGGUGGGGUAAAGGCCUACCAAGGCGACGAUCAGUAGCCGGACUGAGAGGUUGAACGGCCACAUUGGGACUGAGAUACGGCCCAGACUCCUACGGGAGGCAGCAGUCGGGAAUAUUGCGCAAUGGAGGAAACUCUGACGCAGUGACGCCGCGUGCAGGAAGAAGGUUUUCGGAUUGUAAACUGCUUUAGACAGGGAAGAAACAAGACAGUACCUGUAGAAUAAGCUCCGGCUAACUACGUGCCAGCAGCCGCGGUAAUACGUAGGGAGCGAGCGUUAUCCGGAUUUAUUGGGUGUAAAGGGUGCGUAGACGGGAAGAUAAGUUAGUUGUGAAAUCCCUCGGCUUAACUGAGGAACUGCAACUAAAACUGUUUUUCUUGAGUACUGGAGAGGAAAGUGGAAUUCCUAGUGUAGCGGUGAAAUGCGUAGAUAUUAGGAGGAACACCAGUGGCGAAGGCGACUUUCUGGACAGAAACUGACGUUGAGGCACGAAAGUGUGGGGAGCAAACAGGAUUAGAUACCCUGGUAGUCCACACCGUAAACGAUGGAUACUAGGUGUAGGGG